This is a small nuclear RNA of Callithrix jacchus (white-tufted-ear marmoset), 107 nucleotides long. Lineage: Eukaryota; Metazoa; Chordata; Mammalia; Primates; Cebidae. The record is from Ensembl.
GUGCUCACUUCAGCAGCACGUAUACUAAAAAAUUGGAACGAUACAGAGAAGAUUAGCAUGGCCCCUGAGCAAGGAUGACACACAAAUUCAUUUUGAAAAUUAUUUUU